Molecule: regulatory RNA element, 35 nt
Organism: Bacteroidales bacterium Barb4
Lineage: Bacteria; Pseudomonadati; Bacteroidota; Bacteroidia; Bacteroidales
Rfam family: DUF805b RNA
About the family: Bacteroidetes, Chlorobi (1 example), Proteobacteria. Lineage (Flavobacteria)
Source: Rfam
ACGGCGGAUCCGAAAAGCCGAAAACAGAGUAGGGA